This 1466-nucleotide long non-coding RNA is filed under the name Calidris pugnax (ruff). RNAcentral's name for it is "lncRNA (ENSCPUG00000014389.1)". The record is from RNAcentral. Lineage: Eukaryota; Metazoa; Chordata; Aves; Charadriiformes; Scolopacidae.
GCUGGGGACCGACUCGUUCGUCGCUACCGGAGAAGAACGGGAGCAACUUUUUUCCUUUUUAUUUUUUUUUGGGGGUGUCUUUUUCCCCUCUUAUUUUUUUAUUUUUUUUUAUUUUUUGUGGCUUUUUUGGGUCGCCUGACUCGUGAGUGGAAAUAAAAUAUCCACGGGUGCCUCCACGAGGAAAGCUGAGACACUUCCAGCCUGAGCCGUCCGUGAGCUGCUGCUGCUGCCUUUUCUACCCACCCUGGCUGCCCCUUGUCGCCUGGAAAAGGAAAAGAAAAAGGAAAAAAAAGAAGAAAAAAGGAUUUUUUUUAUUUUUUCUCCGCCGGCCGGGGAAGGGAGGCGGCGGGGGAAGCUCCCGAGCCCGCGGGGACACCGGAGAGGGUGGUGGCAGAGCCAGGCCACCCGCCAUCGACCUCGGCGCUGGUGUGGAUACCGCCGGUCACAAAGGAGAGGAAAAGGAACCACCCUGCGAUGUUUUAUUGAAAAGCCCUUCUCCCCCGGUUGCCUCCCGCGGGGUCGGGUGGCUCCGCCGGAGCGGAGCCGUCUGCGGGGUGAAAUGCAUCUCCCCCCCCACAACGAGCUCCGCCGCCCAAAGAGCAUCCCCGGGGCAUCUUCUGGACCGUCGGUGCUGGGAGGAGGAUUCUCACCGGGGACGAGGCGUCGUCGUGGGCCCCGAGAAACCGGCUGAGCCUCCGCCGAGGCCGCCGCUACCGGCUCCGGUCGGGGAGGAGCGGGAUGUGCCGUCUCUCCGGGCUCGGUCCCCCGACGGAAAAGGAGGUGUCCCCGGUGCCUGCGGAGGUGGUUCAACCCCAACAUCCCAAUCCGGCCCCGGGGGAGAACCGGGAGAUGGUGGGAAUGUGAUGGCCGGAGAGGCAGGGCCUGGAGGCGGCGGCUCGGCGGGGGCACCCGCUGCACCGGGGGAAACCGGGACCCGGCUCCGGCCCCGCCGGUUUCUAUUUCCGAGGAGAGGAGGCGGUAAAGUUUUACAGCAGCCCUGCGGGGUCUUUGCCAAUUUGCUUGGCAUCGGGCAGCGGUGGUUUGCUUGGUUCUGGGUGUCGGGGCGCAGGUGUCUCUUUAGGGUUUUUUGGGUGUUUUUUUGGAUAAAUCUGUGUGUAUGUAUAAAUAUGUGCAUUCUCCUGCCAGGGAUGCUCUUGCUCAGAGGCUGCAGGCAGCUUACCUGGGUGGGUGACAGGGUUUUGUGGAGGGCAGAGUGCCCAGGGCGUGUGGCCGGGGGCCCUGCAGAUGUGGGGGCAGAGCCACACAGCCCCUCUCUGGGUGAGCAGUGUCUUGCUGGGGCUGCUUUUGUGGAAUUUGGCAGUUUUAUACCUUCCUGUGCCCUUGCUGUGGGGUUUGACCAUCCGACGGGCCGGGCACAUGCCAUACUUGCUGGUCUGGGUGCCUGUGCCACUCUGGGACCCCAGCUUGGCAAAUCCUUGGCAUGUGGGCUCCGGUGCUGGGGGACC